This 528-nucleotide long non-coding RNA is filed under the name Lathyrus oleraceus (garden pea). RNAcentral's name for it is "Pisum sativum (pea) long non-coding RNA (PSAT_LNC016361)". Lineage: Eukaryota; Viridiplantae; Streptophyta; Magnoliopsida; Fabales; Fabaceae. The record is from RNAcentral.
UAUUUUGGUGCAUUCAAUUUAAUUUUUUUGAGCGAGUUCGCACUUGAUUUUUUAUUUAUUUUAAAUCCAUUUAUUUUCAUUAUUGUGUCAGAAAAAUCAAAAAAAUUAAAUAGGUAUAAUCAUGCUCUCAUUUUAAUUUUAUCAUGUUUAUAUAAAAAUGUGAAAUUUAUUUUAUUUAAGUGAUUUAAAUUGAUUUAAGCUUCUAGAAGGGAUAUUCUAGGCAUUUUUGAUUUGGUUAGCAAUGUUGUGUUUCUUUGGUCCAAUCGUAGCCUUUAAUUCAAAUUAAUCAGUGAUCCCAAUUGGAAGACACAUGGAUCCCUAUCCUCAAUUAUCCCUCUCAACCAAUGGUCCUUUGACACAUCACAAGAAAAAAGAAAAAACAAAAGUUAAAGAAGUAGUAAAGAAAAAAAUAGAGAUUUAGGACACAAAAGGGGCAGUUCUCAACGUCUCUUUGGACUCUCUCAUUAAGAGAGAUCUUUUUCUGAAAAGGACAAAAAAAAGAAAAUAAAUAAAUAAGUGAAAUAACUN